This 390-nucleotide ribosomal RNA is filed under the name uncultured bacterium. RNAcentral describes it as "bacterial SSU rRNA". It matches the Rfam family "Bacterial small subunit ribosomal RNA", at positions 30 to 424 of the family's 1533-position model. The record is from RNAcentral.
AUUGAACGCUGGCGGCAUGCCUUACACAUGCAAGUCGAACGGCAGCGGACCUUCGGGUGCCGGCGAGUGGCGAACGGGUGAGUAAUAUAUCGGAACGUACCUUUCAGUGGGGGAUAACGUAGCGAAAGUUACGCUAAUACCGCAUAUUCUGUGAGCAGGAAAGCAGGGGAUCGCAAGACCUUGCGCUGAUUGAGCGGCCGAUAUCAGAUUAGCUAGUUGGUGAGGUAAAGGCCUACCAAGGCGACGAUCCGUAGCUGGUCUGAGAGGACGACCAGCCACACUGGAACUGAGACACGGUCCAGACUCCUACGGGAGGCAGCAGUGGGGAAUUUUGGACAAUGGGCGAAAGCCUGAUCCAGCCAUUCCGCGUGAGUGAAGAAGGCCUCGGUU